Molecule: ribosomal RNA, 501 nt
Filed under: uncultured euryarchaeote
Lineage: Archaea; Methanobacteriati; Methanobacteriota
Description: bacterial SSU rRNA
Rfam family: Archaeal small subunit ribosomal RNA
Source: RNAcentral
AAACUUUACAAUGCGGGAAACCGCGAUAAGGGGACACUGAGUGCCAGCAUAUUAUGUUGGCUGUCCACAUGUAUAAAAAUCAUGUGUUAGCAAGGGCCGGGCAAGACCGGUGCCAGCCGCCGCGGUAACACCGGCGGCCCGAGUGGUGAUCACUUUUAUUGGGUCUAAAGGGUCCGUAGCCGGCCUGAUAAGUCCUUUGGGAAAUCUGGCAGCUUAACUGUCAGGCUUCUAAGGGAUACUGUCAGGCUUGGGACCGGAAGAGGUAAGGGGUACUCCAGGGGUAGGAGUGAAAUCUUGUAAUCCCUGGGGGACCAUCUGUGGCGAAGGCGCCUUACCAGAACGGGUCCGACGGUGAGGGACGAAAGCUAGGGGAGCAAACCGGAUUAGAUACCCGGGUAGUCCUAGCUGUAAACGAUGCUCGCUAGGUGUCAGACACGGUGCGACCGUGUUUGGUGCCGCAGGAAGCCGUUAAGCGAGCCACCUGGGAGUACGUCGCAAGGC